CCUCCUUAUACGAUUUAGAACUUAUUUGUUCGUAGUGUCCACACAGAUGAUUGUUAGUUAGUUUUACCCUUUGGGUUUAACUGAUUAAUAUGCUCUUUAAAAAUUUGGAAAAGCUGAUAAUAAAAUUCUGAUAAAUACUUUGUAUUUAUCAAGAGUUUUCAAAAGUAAAAAAGAAUGAUAGCAGUAUCAUUCAGUGCCAAUUUAAUCAUUCAUGAUUAAUUGGUAUCUACUUUAGUAUUCAAUAUUAACUUCUGGCGAAGUUAAACUGUCACUAACAAAGACCCGUUUGGGUUGUAUGGUUAAGUGACUAAGCGUACACGGUGGAUGCCUUGGC
This 334-nucleotide unclassified non-coding RNA is filed under the name uncultured Pseudoalteromonas sp. RNAcentral describes it as "partial 16S-23S ribosomal RNA intergenic spacer". Lineage: Bacteria; Pseudomonadati; Pseudomonadota; Gammaproteobacteria; Alteromonadales; Pseudoalteromonadaceae. The record is from RNAcentral.